CAGCCUGGUUGUAGCGCGAUGGAUCACCUGUUCCCAUACCGAACACAGAAGUUAAGCAUCGUAGUGCCGACAGUAUCCGCAAGGAGAGGAUAGGGAGCUGGGCUGG
Molecule: ribosomal RNA, 106 nt
Filed under: Erysipelotrichaceae bacterium
Lineage: Bacteria; Bacillati; Bacillota; Erysipelotrichia; Erysipelotrichales; Erysipelotrichaceae
Source: RNAcentral